GAGUUUGAUCCUGGCUCAGAACGAACGCUGGCGGCGUGCCUAACACAUGCAAGUCCAACGUGAAAGGGGAGCAAUCCCCCGGUAGGGUGGCAAACGGGUGAGUAAUACAUGGGUGAUCUACCUUAGGGAUGGGGAUAUCCUUCCGAAAGGAGGGGCAAUACCGAAUAUUGUCCGGAGCCGUGAAGGGUUCCGGGGAAAGGGAGGCCUCUGAUACAAGCUUUCGCCUUAAGAUGAGCCCAUGGCCCAUCAGCUAGUUGGUAGGGUAAAGGCCUACCAAGGCUACGACGGGUCGCUGGUCUGAGAGGACGACCAGCCACACUGGCACUGAGAUACGGGCCAGACUCCUACGGGAGGCAGCAGUGAGGAAUAUUGCGCAAUGGGGGAAACCCUGACGCAGCAACGCCGCGUGUGGGAAGAAGGCCUUCGGGUCGUAAACCACUUUUGCACGGGACGAAAAAGGGAUAUCGAACAAAUAUCUCCGAUGACGGUACCGUGAGAAUAAGCCACGGCUAACUCUGUGCCAGCAGCCGCGGUAAGACAGAGGUGGCAAGCGUUGUUCGGAAUUACUGGGCGUAAAGAGUCUGUAGGUGGUUUGUCAAGUCUUU
RNAcentral lists this ribosomal RNA (605 nucleotides) under uncultured bacterium. RNAcentral's name for it is "bacterial SSU rRNA". It matches the Rfam family "Bacterial small subunit ribosomal RNA", at positions 9 to 592 of the family's 1533-position model. The record is from RNAcentral.